CUCAAUUCUUUCGAAGAUCCUAAAUACCGAGUAUUGCUUUUAUUUUGAAAUUUUCCAUUUUUUUUGACAAAUCCAAGUGAAAAUGGAUGUAAAAUAAUGGUAAUGAUGAUAAUGCAAAUAAAAUGAUACAAGCAAAACAAAAGAUAAAUAAAUAAUAAAAAAAGGAUCAUGCGGGCACAAUAACAAAUAAAAAAACUAAAGUAAGAAAAAAACAAUAACAG
This 221-nucleotide long non-coding RNA is filed under the name Gossypium raimondii (Peruvian cotton). RNAcentral's name for it is "long non-coding RNA (GRAI_LNC005913)". Lineage: Eukaryota; Viridiplantae; Streptophyta; Magnoliopsida; Malvales; Malvaceae. The record is from RNAcentral.